RNAcentral lists this long non-coding RNA (249 nucleotides) under Sorghum bicolor (sorghum). RNAcentral describes it as "long non-coding RNA (SBIC_LNC015194)". Lineage: Eukaryota; Viridiplantae; Streptophyta; Magnoliopsida; Poales; Poaceae. The record is from RNAcentral.
AUGAACCAGUUCUCCACCUUGUGUUUAGUCAGGAUGGUAUAGUCUCUCGAGUUGAGUCUUUAUAAACCAAGAACUCGUACAGUAGGUAGGCUUGAAGCUUUGCCAAAAUGAAUUUGAUGGCCAAUGAAGGUUGAGUUUAGGCCAACUCUAGCCAUACCCUUCUACACUAGAUCUUUGAUGUGUCUCAUCAAAGUUGCCAGCUCAUUAACCUCAUGGUACACUAAUACACCAGACUAGGAAAAUUGGGCC